CCAAUAGCGUAUAUUAAAGUUGUUGCAGUUAAAAAGCUCGUAGUUGAAUUUCGGGAUCAAUAUGUCGGUCGUGCCUUCGGUACGUACUGGUAUCAUUGGUUUCUCCCUUCUGACAAAUCAUGAUGUCAUUAAUUUGGUGUUAUGGGGAGUUAGGACUGUUACUUUGAAAAAAUUAGAGUGUUUAAAGCAGGCAUUAGCUUGAAUACAUUAGCAUGGAAUAAUGAAAUAGGACGUUUGACCCUAUUUUGUUGGUUUCUAGGAUCGACGUAAUGAUUAAUAGGGAUAGUUGGGGGCAUUAGUAUUCAAUUGUCAGAGGUGAAAUUCUUGGAUUUAUUGAAGACUAACUACUGCGAAAGCAUUUGCCAAGGAUGUUUUCAUUAAUCAAGAACGAAAGUUAGGGGAUCGAAGACGAUCAGAUACCGUCGUAGUCUUAACCAUAAACUAUGCCGACUAGGGAUCGGAUGAUGUUAAUUUUUUAAUGACUCAUUCGG
RNAcentral lists this ribosomal RNA (491 nucleotides) under uncultured Glomus. RNAcentral describes it as "SSU rRNA". It matches the Rfam family "Eukaryotic small subunit ribosomal RNA", at positions 591 to 1083 of the family's 1831-position model. The record is from RNAcentral. Lineage: Eukaryota; Fungi; Glomeromycota; Glomeromycetes; Glomerales; Glomeraceae.